This 228-nucleotide long non-coding RNA is filed under the name Elaeis guineensis (African oil palm). Its description in RNAcentral is "long non-coding RNA (EGUI_LNC034969)". The record is from RNAcentral. Lineage: Eukaryota; Viridiplantae; Streptophyta; Magnoliopsida; Arecales; Arecaceae.
UGGGGAAGAUGGGCAAUAAAGGGCAUGUUUGGCAUGCUAGGGGAGAGAUCAUCCAAGAGAUCAUUAUCGAGGUGGAGCUGAAGAAGCAACUAUUCAGCCAUCGGAUUAGGAAGGCUAGAAAAAUAGUUGGGAUGCAUUCAGCGGUUUGACUGGUUGGUGAAAGAAGAAUAUCCUAUAAGCCAAUCGUAAGAAUAUUGCGAUGAAAUUUUUUUUUAUAAUUUUUCUAUU